AGGCGUGCCUAAUACAUGCAAGUCGAGCGGACCAAAUCCGAUCUUGCUCUGAUUUGGUCAGCGGCGGACGGGUGAGUAACACGUGGGCAACCUGCCCGCAAGACCGGGAUAACUCCGGGAAACCGGAGCUAAUACCGGAUAACACCGAAGACCGCAUGGUCUUUGGUUGAAAGGCGGCCUUUGGCUGUCACUUGCGGAUGGGCCCGCGGCGCAUUAGCUAGUUGGUGAGGUAACGGCUCACCAAGGCGACGAUGCGUAGCCGGCCUGAGAGGGUGACCGGCCACACUGGGACUGAGACACGGCCCAGACUCCUACGGGAGGCAGCAGUAGGGAAUCUUCCGCAAUGGGCGAAAGCCUGACGGAGCGACGCCGCGUGAGCGAAGAAGGCCUUCGGGUCGUAAAGCUCUGUUGUGAGGGACGAAGGAGCGCCGUUUGAACAAGGCGGCGCGGUGACGGUACCUCACGAGGAAGCCCCGGCUAACUACGUGCCAGCAGCCGCGGUAAUACGUAGGGGGCGAGCGUUGUCCGGAAUUAUUGGGCGUAAAGCGCGCGCAGGCGGUCUCUUAAGUCUGAUGUGAAAGCCCACGGCUCAACCGUGGAGGGUCAUUGGAAACUGGGGGACUUGAGUGCAGGAGAGGAGAGCGGAAUUCCACGUGUAGCGGUGAAAUGCGUAGAGAUGUGGAGGAACACCAGUGGCGAAGGCGGCUCUCUGGCCUGCAACUGACGCUGAGGCGCGAAAGCGUGNGGAGCAAACAGGAUUAGAUACCCUGGUAGUCCACGCCCGUAACGAUGAGUGCUAAGUGUUAGAGGGGUCACACCCUUUAGUG
RNAcentral lists this ribosomal RNA (827 nucleotides) under uncultured organism. RNAcentral describes it as "SSU rRNA". It matches the Rfam family "Bacterial small subunit ribosomal RNA", at positions 40 to 845 of the family's 1533-position model. The record is from RNAcentral.